CAUCAUCGUCUGUCACAAGGACGGGGACAUGCACGGUGGUGAACUCUGUGCCACCACCAGAAGAGUCUGCAUGUGACAUCAGCGUGGCACAGCCAUGGCACGGUGUCAUAGUCAUUGUGCAUCGUUUUGGCAGCUGGCGUCGGGUGUCACCGUCAUGAGGGGGGACAGAAGGACCCCGUGGGGACAUUGCGCCAAAGCUGAGGACACCUUCCUGGCACCCUGGUGGUGUCACAUCCCGGAGUUGGGGACACCCCCACCGUCUCAGACUCCAGAGUUGGGGACACACCCCUAAGGGGACCCCAUCUGUGCCCUCCCCCACAGACCACAUUGUUUCCAUGGGGCGGGGGUGACCCCCCUUACCUUUGUAAUUAAGGUUUAUUUUUUGGCACGUCGUAGUGCCGACGCUCCUGAAGACGAAUGAGCCGGUUCCUCAGGAGGUGACAAUCCAAGAGGACGCUCUCUGGCACGCAGCGCUGCACCACGUGCGGCGGGACAGCGGAGGCUCACGCGAGCCAGGUAGACCUGGAUGCAGAUUGCAAUCCGCCCGGCAGAGACCUCUGGUCGCCUACGCGGACCGGACGAGCCGCUCGGGGCCGGGUAGACCGUGUGCAGUCCGGACUCCGCUGCGGAGCGACCGGGUCGGUUGUCUGUGGUUCGUUCGUUCAAUUCGUCCGCACGCCGGGCUCGCCCCGAGCCUCUCUCCCGGCGGGAGGGCAGCACACUGGGCGGACAGACAGUCGCUCGAAGGCGGGGGGGAGAGAGGAAGGUGAAAGAUGGAAAGACGAGUGAGCGACUACAGGCGUGAGGACGAAUGCGUCCAUCCUCGCACACCCGCAGCCCCGGUGCGGCCCGGCCCGGCACCUCCAAAGAAAAAAGAAGAAAGAAAUGGAAAGAAUGCGCGUGGCGGGCUGGGGGUGGAAAUCUGGACAGCUUCCCAGCCCCCUUGCCGAGAGCUCCACCGCGGUCACCACCAUUGCCUCUGGAGCGACGCGAGCAUUGAGCACUAGGGGGGUGAAAAGAACAGUGCACGGAGUGUUACGGGCUGAG
Molecule: long non-coding RNA, 1047 nt
Filed under: Phasianus colchicus (ring-necked pheasant)
Lineage: Eukaryota; Metazoa; Chordata; Aves; Galliformes; Phasianidae
Description: lncRNA (ENSPCLG00000013449.1)
Source: RNAcentral